AGAGUUUGAUCAUGGCUCAGAAUCAACGCUGGCGGCGUGCCUAACACAUGCAAGUCGAACGCGGUUGCUUCUGCUUCGCAAGAAGUAGUUGCAACUGAGUGGCGAACGGGUGAGUAACACGUGGGUGACCUGCCUUCGAGUGGGGGAUAACAUCCCGAAAGGGGUGCUAAUACCGCAUGACAUCCUGCCUUUGAAGAGGUGGCGAUUAAAGCCGGGGAUCGCAAGACCUGGCGCUUGAAGAGGGGCCCGCGUCCGAUUAGCUAGUUGGUGGGGUAAUGGCCUACCAAGGCGACGAUCGGUAGCCGGCCUGAGAGGGCGGACGGCCACACUGGGACUGAGACACGGCCCAGACUCCUACGGGAGGCAGCAGUGGGGAAUUGUUCGCAAUGGGCGCAAGCCUGACGACGCAACGCCGCGUGGAGGACGAAGAUCUUCGGGUCGUAAACUCCUUUCGAUCGGGACGAAUGACCGGUGACCUAAUACGUCGCCGGAGUACGGUACCGAGAGAGAGCCCCGGCUAACUCGUGCCAGCAGCCGCGGUAAUAC
RNAcentral lists this ribosomal RNA (546 nucleotides) under uncultured bacterium. RNAcentral describes it as "bacterial SSU rRNA". It matches the Rfam family "Bacterial small subunit ribosomal RNA", at positions 8 to 526 of the family's 1533-position model. The record is from RNAcentral.